This 46-nucleotide non-coding RNA is filed under the name Candidatus Koribacter versatilis Ellin345. RNAcentral describes it as "Acido-Lenti-1 RNA". It matches the Rfam family "Acido-Lenti-1 RNA". Lineage: Bacteria; Pseudomonadati; Acidobacteriota; Terriglobia; Terriglobales; Candidatus Korobacteraceae. The record is from Rfam by way of RNAcentral.
CCCACCACUCUCGUGGUGGGCUUAUUUAUUGCGUCGCUGCGCGACU